Molecule: non-coding RNA, 133 nt
Organism: Pelobates cultripes (western spadefoot toad)
Lineage: Eukaryota; Metazoa; Chordata; Amphibia; Anura; Pelobatidae
Source: the annotation of a GenBank genome assembly
ACUGGUGGCAUUGUAGAUGGAGUACUCUAACUGGUGGCAUUGUAGUUGGAGUACUCUAUCUACAAUGUCACCAGUUAGAGUACUAUAACUACAGUGCCACCAGUUAGAGUACUCCAUCUACAAUGCCACCAGU